UCACAUGCAAACCAUGGCCCCCUCCCCCCUCCACUUUUAUUUAGCAUAUAUAAAAGAGAUCCAAAGGGGAUUGUGAUAAGGUGGCCUUGGCAUAAUUCUUGGAACGGAGAACAUGGAACAAAACAUGAGAGGUGAAAAGGAGAGCUUGAGGGAGGGAUACCAUGUUCCAGUCCACAGCCAAGUGAGAAGGAUCAAGCAAGAGGAUGAGAAGAUGAAGGACCGGCUGCAGCCUAAGGUUCUUGAGGUGAGGCCGGCCUUUCGGGACCUCACAAGGCAGCUCUCAAGGUCACCUUUGGGAGGAGCAGGCCGAUCGAUCCCUGCAGGAGAGUGAGUAGGAUUCGAACAUCUGAAAGCUUUCAUGGGAGAAGAUUAAUAGUGGAAGAAUAUUUCUUCUUGGCCUUCCUUUAAGUUUCCUUUUCUCCUAUACAUCUGUAAUGGGCCAUACUGGUGUCUUCCCAUGACUACGUAGGCUACAGAGAAAAGUAUGACGAAUUCAGAGAUUGUUUCAUGGGACUUCUUGUUCUUAGUUUAUUUAUGUUUGGCUUUCUUCUAGACCAUGUGAAUAUGUGUCAUCUUGGUUUUCUUGCUUUCAUUUGGAAUUUUUCUUUGAUGUAAAAUUUCAUUUGGAUCCUUCGAUAAGUAUUGAUGUAUGUAUUUCUGAACAGAAAAGAUAAAAUUCUGGACUCCAGUUCGAGAAUUAUCAUUUUUCAAGGGGAUAAAAAUAAUCUAUAGAGAGCAACAAUCCUCCUUUCACAUCGGUGCCUCUGGAGCUGUAACAUUUGCUAUCAAUUUACACAAAUAUAUUUGACCUUAUCUAUUUUUGGG
This 825-nucleotide long non-coding RNA is filed under the name Elaeis guineensis (African oil palm). RNAcentral describes it as "long non-coding RNA (EGUI_LNC022556)". The record is from RNAcentral. Lineage: Eukaryota; Viridiplantae; Streptophyta; Magnoliopsida; Arecales; Arecaceae.